AGACGAACCGGCCAAACGUUAUUCGGAAUUAUUGGGCUUAAAGGGUGCGUAGGCGGCGCGGUCAGUUGGGUGUGAAAUCCCUCGGCUCAACCGAGGAACUGCGCCCAAUACUGCCGUGCUCGAGGGAGACAGAGGCGAGCGGAACUGAUGGUGGAGCGGUGAAAUGCGUUGAUAUCAUCAGGAACACCAGUGGCGAAAGCGGCUCGCUGGGUCUCUGCUGACGCUGAGGCACGAAAGCUAGGGUAGCGAACAGGAGUAGAAACCCCGGUAGUCC
Molecule: ribosomal RNA, 274 nt
Filed under: uncultured bacterium
Lineage: Bacteria
Description: partial 16S ribosomal RNA
Rfam family: Bacterial small subunit ribosomal RNA
Source: RNAcentral